AGAGUUUGAUCCUGGCUCAGGAUGAACGCUAGCGGCAGGCUUAAUACAUGCAAGUCGUGGGGCAGCAGCUCUGUAGCAAUACAGAGGCUGGCGACCGGCAAACGGGUGCGGAACACGUACGCAACUUACCCAUAACUGAUGAAUAGCCCUCCGAAAGGAGGAUUAAUACAUCGUAACAUAAUGAAAGGGCAUCCUUUUAUUAUUAUAGCUCCGGCGGUUUUGGAUGGGCGUGCGGCUGAUUAGGUAGUUGGCGGAGUAAUAGCCCACCAAGCCUACGAUCAGUAACUGGUGUGAGAGCACGACCAGUCACACGGGCACUGAGACACGGGCCCGACUCCUACGGGAGGCAGCAGUAAGGAAUAUUGGUCAAUGGACGCAAGUCUGAACCAGUCCAUGCCGCGUGAAGGAUGAAGGUCCUCUGGAUUGUAAACUUCUUUUAUAUGGGACGAAACCCUCUUAUUCUUGAGAGACUGACGGUACCAUACGAAUAAGCACCGGCUAACUCCGUGCCAGCAGCCGCGGUAAUACGGAGGGUGCAAGCGUUAUACCGGAUUCACUGGGUUUAAAGGGUGCGUCAGGUGGGUCUGUAAGUACGUAGGUGAAAUCUNNUAGGCUUAACCUGGAAAACUGCCAUGGAUACUAUAGGUCUUUGAAUACCGUGAGAAGGGUGAAGCCGGAAUUACAUGUCAUUAGUUAAGCCAGGUUGNAACAUGCUUAAGGAUAUGACGAUAA
Molecule: ribosomal RNA, 732 nt
Filed under: uncultured bacterium
Lineage: Bacteria
Description: bacterial SSU rRNA
Rfam family: Bacterial small subunit ribosomal RNA
Source: RNAcentral